UUGGGGAAUUGAACAAGCGGUCCUGCCUCAGCUUGAGGUAGUGAGAGGCUAAGCUUGUCCAGCACAGAGGCUUUGGAGAAUUGUAGAUUAACGGCAUCUGCUUUUGUGUUCUUCACAAGUCAAAGGACAACCAUGUGAAGAUAUGGUGUGGGGGCAGAAACUUAAGUGAAGAUGGAGGGAGACUGAAGUGAUGCAUCCACAAGCCAAGGAAUGCAAAGCAUUUCUUCUGUACUCAUCAAAAGUUGGGAAAGAGACAUGGAAUGGAUUGUUUUCCACAGACCUCAGAAGGAACCAACCCGGCUGACAUCUUGAUUUCAGACCUUAAGCCUUCAGAACUACUUGAAGGCUUUGUAAUCACCCAGUUAGGUUCUUCUUGCCUACUACCCAGAAAAAGCUAAUACACUGAGAACAGCAGGAAUGUUCGCAGCAAAGAAAGAGUUUAAUGAUCAGAGGGCCAGCCAUGUGGAAGGAUAAGAGGUAAUUCUCAAAUCUGCCUUUCCAAGAAUUUGGGGACUAGGGUUUUUCAAGGAUAGCUUGGCAGUCAGAGGGCUAGGGAAUGAGGAUUGCUGAUAGGAUGGGUUUGGGAUGAAAUCAUAGGGUGUUGACACUGUCUGCUUGUGCUGAGUCAGUUACUGGGUAGUGGUUACAACUACAAGAUGCUAGUUGAUCCAUAUAGAAUGCAAGUUCUGAAAAAUAAAUGCUAAUCUUAAAGGAUUUACAAUGGUGAUGUUAUCUAUAGGGGCAAUUGCGUAAGUUAAUCUUGUGACCAUUCGCU
This 775-nucleotide long non-coding RNA is filed under the name Callithrix jacchus (white-tufted-ear marmoset). RNAcentral describes it as "lncRNA (ENSCJAG00000073078.1)". Lineage: Eukaryota; Metazoa; Chordata; Mammalia; Primates; Cebidae. The record is from RNAcentral.